AUUAAGGCAUUGAUACAUUUGAUACCAUGCCCUCUUCUCUCUGGAAAGGUAGACUUUCUUCGAGUUAACCUUGCACGAUAAACCAUUGCAAUGUUCUGAUCCACAUUAAAGGAAGGGUCUCCAGAUUUUAUCAAUCCUCGAUAUGAGCCAAGAAGGAAGUUUGAACAGAGAAAGGUAGUAUAUAGGAAGAGCCAUAAGGACAACAUUUAUAAG
RNAcentral lists this long non-coding RNA (213 nucleotides) under Elaeis guineensis (African oil palm). RNAcentral describes it as "long non-coding RNA (EGUI_LNC009951)". Lineage: Eukaryota; Viridiplantae; Streptophyta; Magnoliopsida; Arecales; Arecaceae. The record is from RNAcentral.